GACGAACUUUGGCGGCGUGCUUAACACAUGCAAGUCGAACGGUAAGGCUCCAGCUUGCUGGGGUACACGAGUGGCGAACGGGUGAGUAACACGUGGGUGACCUGCCCUGCACUUCGGGAUAAGCCUGGGAAACUGGGUCUAAUACCGGAUAGGACCGCACCGUGAGGGUGUGGUGGAAAGUUUUUUCGGUGUGGGAUGGGCCCGCGGCCUAUCAGCUUGUUGGUGGGGUAAUGGCCUACCAAGGCGGCGACGGGUAGCCGGCCUGAGAGGGUGGACGGCCACAUUGGGACUGAGACACGGCCCAGACUCCUACGGGAGGCAGCAGUGGGGAAUAUUGCACAAUGGGCGGAAGCCUGAUGCAGCGACGCCGCGUGGGGGAUGACGGCCUUCGGGUUGUAAACUCCUUUCACCAUCGACGAAGGGUUUCUGACGGUAGAUGGAGAAGAAGCACCGGCUAACUACGUGCCAGCAGCCGCGGUAAUACGUAGGGUGCGAGCGUUGUCCGGAAUUACUGGGCGUAAAGAGCUCGUAGGUGGUUUGUCGCGUCGUCUGUGAAAUUCCGGGGCUUAACUCCGGGCGUGCAGGCGAUACGGGCAUAACUUGAGUACUGUAGGGGAGACUGGAAUUCCUGGUGUAGCGGUGAAAUGCGCAGAUAUCAGGAGGAACACCGGUGGCGAAGGCGGGUCUCUGGGCAGUAACUGACGCUGAGGAGCGAAAGCAUGGGGAGCGAACAGGAUUAGAUACCCUGGUAGUCCAUGCCGUAAACGGUGGGCGCUAGGUGUGGGUUUCCUUCCACGGGAUCCGUGCCGUAGCUAACGCAUUAAGCGCCCCGCCUGGGGAGUACGGCCGCAAGGCUAAAACUCAAAGGAAUUGACGGGGGCCCGCACAAGCGGCGGAGCAUGUGGAUUAAUUCGAUGCAACGCGAAGAACCUUACCUGGGCUUGACAUAUACAGGAUCGCGCCAGAGAUGGUGUUUCCCUUGUGGCUUGUAUACAGGUGGUGCAUGGUUGUCGUCAGCUCGUGUCGUGAGAUGUUGGGUUAAGUCCCGCAACGAGCGCAACCCUUGUCUUAUGUUGCCAGCACGUUGUGGUGGGGACUCGUAAGAAACUGCCGGGGUUAACUCGGAGGAAGGUGGGGAUGACGUCAAAUCAUCAUGCCCCUUAUGUCCAGGGCUUCACACAUGCUACAAUGGUCGGUACAGUGGGUUGCCAGUCCGUGAGGGCGAGCUAAUCCCGCAAAGCCGGUCUCAGUUCGGAUCGGGGUCUGCAACUCGACCCCGUGAAGUCGGAGUCGCUAGUAAUCGCAGAUCAGCAACGCUGCGGUGAAUACGUUCCCGGGCCU
Molecule: ribosomal RNA, 1341 nt
Filed under: uncultured bacterium
Lineage: Bacteria
Description: partial 16S ribosomal RNA
Rfam family: Bacterial small subunit ribosomal RNA
Source: RNAcentral